AACGUAGGAGGCAAGCGUUAUCCGGAGUUACUGGGCGUAAAGAGUGCGUAGGCGGAUCUGUAAGUGGGUGGUGAAAGCGCCCGGCUAAACCGGGCGAGGUCCAAUCAGACUGCAGGUCUAGAGGCGGAUAGAGGGGUGCGGAAUUCCGGGUGUAGCGGUGAAAUGCGUAGAGAUGCGGAGGAACACCGAUGGCGAAGGCAGCCCCCUGGGCUAACACUGACGCUCAGGCACGAAAGCGUGGGGAGCAAACAGG
RNAcentral lists this ribosomal RNA (253 nucleotides) under uncultured bacterium. Its description in RNAcentral is "partial 16S ribosomal RNA". It matches the Rfam family "Bacterial small subunit ribosomal RNA", at positions 524 to 776 of the family's 1533-position model. The record is from RNAcentral.